UACAGAGGUCCCAAGCGUUGUUCGGAUUCACUGGGCGUAAAGGGUGCGUAGGUGGUUGGGAAAGUUUGAUGUGAAAGCUCGGAGCUUAACUCCGAAAUGGCAUUGAAUACUUCUUAACUUGAGGGUCGGAGGGGAGACUGGAAUUCUCGGUGUAGCAGUGAAAUGCGUAGAUAUGCGGAGGAACACCGAUGGCGAAGGCAAUCCCCUGGGCCUGUACUGACGCUCAUGCACGAAAGCGUGGGGGAGCAAACAGG
Molecule: ribosomal RNA, 254 nt
Filed under: uncultured bacterium
Lineage: Bacteria
Description: partial 16S ribosomal RNA
Rfam family: Bacterial small subunit ribosomal RNA
Source: RNAcentral